UUGCACGCUGGCGGAAUGCUAUACACCUGCAAGUCGAGCGGCAGCGCGGCCUUCGGGCUGGCGGCGAGCGGCGAACGGGUGAGUAAUGCAUCGGAACAUGCCCAGUCGUGGGGGAUAACACUUCGAAAGAAGUGCUAAUACCGCAUACGUCCUGAGGGGGAAAGCGGGGGAUCGCAAGACCUCGCGCGAUUGGAGUGGCCGAUGUCAGAUUAGCUAGUUGGUGGGGUAAAGGCCUACCAAGGCGACGAUCUGUAGCUGGUCUGAGAGGAUGAUCAGCCACACUGGGACUGAGACACGGCCCAGACUCCUACGGGAGGCAGCAGUGGGGAAUUUUGGACAAUGGGGGCAACCCUGAUCCAGCCAUUCCGCGUGAGUGAAGAAGGCCUUCGGGUUGUAAAGCUCUUUCGGCAGGAACGAAACGGUGGGCUCUAACAUAGUCCGCUAAUGACGGUACCUGAAGAAGAAGCACCGGCUAACUACGUG
RNAcentral lists this ribosomal RNA (483 nucleotides) under uncultured bacterium. RNAcentral's name for it is "partial 16S ribosomal RNA". It matches the Rfam family "Bacterial small subunit ribosomal RNA", at positions 29 to 507 of the family's 1533-position model. The record is from RNAcentral.